Molecule: non-coding RNA, 510 nt
Organism: Ceratotherium simum simum (southern white rhinoceros)
Lineage: Eukaryota; Metazoa; Chordata; Mammalia; Perissodactyla; Rhinocerotidae
Source: the annotation of a RefSeq genome assembly
AUGAUCAGGACUGAACACAGACGGCUCACCAUGGAGUUUGGGCUGACCGGGCUUUUCCUUCUUGCUAUUUUAAGAGGUGUCCAGUGUGAGGUGCAGCUGGUGGAGUCUGGCGGAGGCUUGGCGAAGCCUGGAGGGUCUCUGAGACUCUCCUGUGCAGCGUCUGGAUUCACCUUCAGCAGUGCUAGCAUGAGCUGGGUCCGCCAGGCUCCAGGGAAGGGACCACAGUGGGUCUCAUACAUUAAUAAAGAUGGUAGUAGUACAUACUACGCAGACUCCGUGAAGGGCCGAUUCACCAUCUCCAGAGACAACUCCAAGAACACUCUGUAUCUGCAAAUGAACAGCCUGAGAUCCGAGGACACGGCCGUGUAUUACUGUACUAUUGACACAGUGAGGGGAAGUCAGUGUGAACCUAGACAGAAACCUCCCUGCAGGAGGGGCUCAGGACCACCAGGGGGCGCUCAGGCCCCGCACUCAAGGACCAUCACAGAGGCAGGUGCAGAUGGGGGUUAA